AUGAUUAAAUACAAAAGUAAUUCCUUCCCACCUCCGCACCCCUGCUUUAUUGCAGGAGAGCCCACGCAACAAAUAAUGGCUUUAAAUAAUGGCUUUCUUCCCCGGGAGCAGACUCUGGAGAGGAGUUUCCUGGUGCUGUGCUCCUGCCCACCCUCUGAUGCUGCAAGUGGAUGCCAGCCGAGCGUGCUCUGUGAUGAACUGAGCUGUGCUGUGCUUAAUAAAGAGGAUGAAGACGUGUCACCCUUUGCAAACUCCUCCCCUCCAGCUCACGGAUUUGAGCCAGGUUCAUCCCACAGCUAUGAUCCAACUGAUGACGACCCAAGCACAGGCAGUUUCCCUUGCUGA
RNAcentral lists this long non-coding RNA (345 nucleotides) under Phasianus colchicus (ring-necked pheasant). RNAcentral describes it as "lncRNA (ENSPCLG00000006194.1)". The record is from RNAcentral. Lineage: Eukaryota; Metazoa; Chordata; Aves; Galliformes; Phasianidae.